This 92-nucleotide transfer RNA is filed under the name Mobilicoccus caccae. RNAcentral's name for it is "tRNA-Arg". The record is from RNAcentral. Lineage: Bacteria; Bacillati; Actinomycetota; Actinomycetes; Micrococcales; Dermatophilaceae.
GCUCGGGGAGGUCGUCGUGGCGCGCGGUCGCCGCUGCGACCAGCGCGGAUUCGACCUCACGGGUCGCGCCGAUCAUCGCCGCACCCAGGCGC